AGAAGCACCGGCUAACUCCGUGCCAGCAGCCGCGGUAAUACGGAGGGUGCAAGCGUUAAUCGGAAUUACUGGGCGUAAAGCGCACGCAGGCGGUUUGUUAAGUCAGAUGUGAAAUCCCCGGGCUCAACCUGGGAACUGCAUCUGAUACUGGCAAGCUUGAGUCUCGUAGAGGGGGGUAGAAUUCCAGGUGUAGCGGUGAAAUGCGUAGAGAUCUGGAGGAAUACCGGU
This 228-nucleotide ribosomal RNA is filed under the name Escherichia coli. Its description in RNAcentral is "partial 16S ribosomal RNA". It matches the Rfam family "Bacterial small subunit ribosomal RNA", at positions 486 to 713 of the family's 1533-position model. Lineage: Bacteria; Pseudomonadati; Pseudomonadota; Gammaproteobacteria; Enterobacterales; Enterobacteriaceae. The record is from RNAcentral.